This 254-nucleotide ribosomal RNA is filed under the name uncultured bacterium. Its description in RNAcentral is "partial 16S ribosomal RNA". It matches the Rfam family "Bacterial small subunit ribosomal RNA", at positions 524 to 776 of the family's 1533-position model. The record is from RNAcentral.
UACGUAGGGUGCAAGCGUUAAUCGGAAUUACUGGGCGUAAAGCGUGCGCAGGCGGUGAUGUAAGACAGAUGUGAAAUCCCCGGGCUCAACCUGGGAACUGCAUUUUGUGACUGCAUCGCUAAAGUACGGCAGAGGGGGAUGGAAUUCCGCGUGUAGCAGUGAAAUGCGUAGAUAUGCGGAGGAACACCGAUGGCGAAGGCAAUCCCCUGGGCCUGUACUGACGCUCAUGCACGAAAGCGUGGGGAGCAAACAGG